This 1029-nucleotide long non-coding RNA is filed under the name Sus scrofa (pig). Its description in RNAcentral is "lncRNA (ENSSSCG00045005976.1)". Lineage: Eukaryota; Metazoa; Chordata; Mammalia; Artiodactyla; Suidae. The record is from RNAcentral.
GAAGGUUUUUUCAGCCCUUAGAUGAGGUUUAAUGCCACCUCUCUCUUGGCUGUGAGCACCCAUCUUUGAUCUCGAUUUGAAUGUGGUUUAAAUCAUAAAUAGUGUAAUGUGUUUUGUUGUUAAGGUUGUUUUUCGACAAGGUCACCCUACGACUGACCGUGGCCGGAGACUCACGGCCCCUGCCUCUCAGCCCUGAGCCACGCUUCCGCCCCCAUCUUUUAGGGAUCAGUUAGUAGAUUCAAGACAGAUGUGUCCGUGGCCCCAGAAAAGUGAACACUGGUAGGGACAUUCAGGGGAAAACUUAUUAAGAAUGCCUGAGGACAUCACCUUUGACUGAGUUUUAUUUUCAGUGGAAGGAAUGAAUGCUAAAUUAAGGGAGAAAAAAACACAGGGAUAACUCCUUGUCUAGCAUUCCCACCUGGCUACAGAACCUUGGUUUUCUAAGGACUGUUUCGGAGUUUUACCUCCUUGGAGCAGUCAUUUUCUUUGGUACGGUACUGCCAAGUUUGAAACUCUGCCAUCACCGAGGAAAAGGCAUUUGGCCUGAAGACUAGGAGCUUAGCUAGCAUGUAUACAAAAUAGGAGUUCAGAUCAUGAAAUUAAAAAGGUAACUCUGAUUUAGGCCACAGAACACAGUGGGGUGGUUAUCCUAGGAGUUUAGAAGGACUGCCUCCCAGCAUCUUGCAUCUCUCUAGCCUGAUCACUUUUUUCUCCUCAGAUGAUCCUUACCUGGCAUGAGAGGCGCCCUAACAGGCUAAAGUGUAUCAAAUAGGACCGAAAGAUGCUGCAUCACCAAGCACUUCUUUCGUUCCACCGUUUCCCCAAUUGCAGUGACGCCGUUGUGCCUCCAGUGGCCAGCAGAACUCCAGCGGAAGGUCUGCAGCCUAAAGGGAUGGAAUGCGCCUGGACCCAUCCUCACCUCACAUGGGCAGAGCCGACCUACCUUGCAGAGGUGCUGAGAUUUCCAGAGGGCUGGCCUCACUUUGAACACCAGCAACAUCUGCAAGACAAGAGCCCCCGAACUGCCAU